AAUUCAUUUCUAACACCCAUUUUUUAAAAAAAAAACAAAAAACUCUGAAACCCCCUCUUCGUCCUCUGGCCUGAGUUCCAACAACGGCCGAUGACCACCGUUCACGCGCCUCACGUGCCAUCGUACACGGUGGUCGGAGGUUCUAAAUUUCUCCCCUUUCCAGGCAAAUCACAGGUAUCAUCGAGGAAUCCGGCAGUGACCGUGCUGGUGUGGAUUCGCGCGCUGAUCACGGAGGCAGAGUCACGGCGCUGAUGGAGGGCAGCUGAAACAACGGGAGUUGAAGAGGCGCAACCCUUAGGCUGAUUGCGGCGCGAACCCUAGCUAGGGUUUCUCUGCUGCUGAAAAUAAGUUAGGCUAAUUGGGCCAAUUAAAUAUUGGGCUAGUUUAGUAUAUCUGGGGUAGGGUAUAGCUGGGUAUGGUUGUUUGGGUCAAGGGUGUAAACGGGCUUAGCUGAAUUGUUUCGGUUUUGGGCCUACGGUUUGGGCUUUGUAACAUGGACUGUUUAAAUAAACAAACAUUUAUUUAUUUA
Long non-coding RNA from Gossypium arboreum, 529 nucleotides. RefSeq lists it as uncharacterized. Lineage: Eukaryota; Viridiplantae; Streptophyta; Magnoliopsida; Malvales; Malvaceae. The transcript is spliced from 2 exons. The record is from RefSeq and is a predicted model, not a curated record.